This 468-nucleotide ribosomal RNA is filed under the name uncultured bacterium. RNAcentral describes it as "partial 16S ribosomal RNA". It matches the Rfam family "Bacterial small subunit ribosomal RNA", at positions 28 to 507 of the family's 1533-position model. The record is from RNAcentral.
GACGAACGCUGGCGGCGUGCUUAACACAUGCAAGUCGAACGGAAAGGCCCUGCUUUUGUGGGGUGCUCGAGUGGCGAACGGGUGAGUAACACGUGAGUAACCUGCCCUUGACUUUGGGAUAACUUCAGGAAACUGGGGCUAAUACCGGAUAGGAGCUCCUGCUGCAUGGUGGGGGUUGGAAAGUUUCGGCGGUUGGGGAUGGACUCGCGGCUUAUCAGCUUGUUGGUGGGGUAGUGGCUUACCAAGGCUUUGACGGGUAGCCGGCCUGAGAGGGUGACCGGCCACAAUGGGACUGAGAUACGGCCCAGACUCCUACGGGAGGCAAGAGUGGGGAGUAUUACACAGUGGGCGGAAGCCUGAUGCAACAACGCCGCGUGCGGGAUGACGGCCUUCGGGUUGUAAACCGCUUUCGCCUGUGACGAAGCGUGAGUGACGGUAAUGGGUAAAGAAGCACCGGCUAACUACGUG